CCUACAGGAGGCAGCAGUGGGGAAUAUUGGACAAUGGGGGCAACCCUGAUCCAGCCAUGCCGCGUGUGUGAAGAAGGCCCUCGGGUUGUAAAGCACUUUCAGUGAGGAAGAACGCCUGGUGGUUAAUACCCAUCAGGAAAGACAUCACUCACAGAAGAAGCACCGGCUAACUCCGUGCCAGCAGCCGCGGUAAUACGGAGGGUGCGAGCGUUAAUCGGAAUUACUGGGCGUAAAGCGCGCGUAGGUGGCUUGAUAAGCCGGUUGUGAAAGCCCCGGGCUCAACCUGGGAACGGCAUCCGGAACUGUCAAGCUAGAGUGCAGGAGAGGAAGGUAGAAUUCCCGGUGUAGCGGUGAAAUGCGUAGAGAUCGGGAGGAAUACCAGUGGCGAAGGCGGCCUUCUGGACUGACACUGACACUGAGGUGCGAAAGCGUGGGUAGCAAACAGGAUUAGAUACCCGGGUAGUC
RNAcentral lists this ribosomal RNA (465 nucleotides) under Vreelandella stevensii. RNAcentral describes it as "partial 16S ribosomal RNA". It matches the Rfam family "Bacterial small subunit ribosomal RNA", at positions 338 to 795 of the family's 1533-position model. The record is from RNAcentral. Lineage: Bacteria; Pseudomonadati; Pseudomonadota; Gammaproteobacteria; Oceanospirillales; Halomonadaceae.